This 234-nucleotide long non-coding RNA is filed under the name Solanum tuberosum (potato). RNAcentral's name for it is "long non-coding RNA (STUB_LNC009879)". The record is from RNAcentral. Lineage: Eukaryota; Viridiplantae; Streptophyta; Magnoliopsida; Solanales; Solanaceae.
UCUAAACUCAUGAUCCAUUGGCAAGAACUGGCAAUGACAAUCAAACCAUGUAUUUUUUCUGCCAUGCUUUAAAGUGAAUGCCUUACUAUUUUCCAUGCAAUACGGACAUGCUAGCUUUCCAGCUGUCAUCCAACCAGACAACAUCCCGUAUGCUGGAAAAUUAUUAAUAGUCCAACAUUAAAGAAGCACGCAUAACGAAAUUCUGCUUAGUUGAUAUAUCAUAAGUCAAAACGC